GGGCCCGCACAAGCGGAGGAACAUGUGGUUUAAUUCGAUGAUACGCGAGGAACCUUACCCGGGCUUGAAAUGUACCCGCAUAAUCCGGAAACGGAUUAGCCAGCAAUGGCGGGUAUGUAGGUGCUGCAUGGUUGUCGUCAGCUCGUGCCGUGAGGUGUCGGGUCAAGUCCCAUAACGAGCGCAACCCUUACCGCCAGUUACCAGUAUUCAGGAUGGGGACUCUGGCGGGACUGCCACCGUAAGGUGUGAGGAAGGCGGGGAUGACGUCAAAUCAGCACGGCCCUUAUGUCCGGGGCUACACACGUGUUACAAUGGCCGAUACAGCGGGCAGCUACUGCGCGAGCAGAUGCCAAUCCCCAAAGUCGGUCCCAGUUCGGAUCGAAGUCUGCAACCCGACUUCGUGAAGCUGGAUUCGCUAGUAAUCGCGCAUCAGCCAUGGCG
Molecule: ribosomal RNA, 441 nt
Filed under: uncultured Bacteroidota bacterium
Lineage: Bacteria; Pseudomonadati; Bacteroidota
Description: bacterial SSU rRNA
Rfam family: Bacterial small subunit ribosomal RNA
Source: RNAcentral